GAUGAACGCUGGCGGCGUGCCUAAUACAUGCAAGUCGAGCGAACGGACGAGAAGCUUGCUUCUCUGAUGUUAGCGGCGGACGGGUGAGUAACACGUGGAUAACCUACCUAUAAGACUGGGAUAACUUCGGGAAACCGGAGCUAAUGCCGGAUAAUAUUUUGAACCGCAUGGUUCAAAAGUGAAAGACGGUCUUGCUGUCACUUAUAGAUGGAUCCGCGCUGCAUUAGCUAGUUGGCAAGGUAACGGCUUACCAAGGCAACGAUGCAUAGCCGACCUGAGAGGGUGAUCGGCCACACUGGAACUGAGACACGGUCCAGACUCCUACGGGAGGCAGCAGUAGGGAAUCUUCCGCAAUGGGCGAAAGCCUGACGGAGCAACGCCGCGUGAGUGAUGAAGGUCUUCGGAUCGUAAAACUCUGUUAUUAGGGAAGAACAUAUGUGUAAGUAACUGUGCACAUCUUGACGGUACCUAAUCAGAAAGCCACGGCUAACUACGUG
This 497-nucleotide ribosomal RNA is filed under the name uncultured bacterium. RNAcentral describes it as "partial 16S ribosomal RNA". It matches the Rfam family "Bacterial small subunit ribosomal RNA", at positions 28 to 507 of the family's 1533-position model. The record is from RNAcentral.